Molecule: ribosomal RNA, 811 nt
Filed under: Lactiplantibacillus plantarum
Lineage: Bacteria; Bacillati; Bacillota; Bacilli; Lactobacillales; Lactobacillaceae
Description: bacterial SSU rRNA
Rfam family: Bacterial small subunit ribosomal RNA
Source: RNAcentral
UUAUUGGGCGUAAGCGAGCGCAGGCGGUUUUUUAAGUCUGAUGUGAAAGCCUUCGGCUCAACCGAAGAAGUGCAUCGGAAACUGGGAAACUUGAGUGCAGAAGAGGACAGUGGAACUCCAUGUGUAGCGGUGAAAUGCGUAGAUAUAUGGAAGAACACCAGUGGCGAAGGCGGCUGUCUGGUCUGUAACUGACGCUGAGGCUCGAAAGUAUGGGUAGCAAACAGGAUUAGAUACCCUGGUAGUCCAUACCGUAAACGAUGAAUGCUAAGUGUUGGAGGGUUUCCGCCCUUCAGUGCUGCAGCUAACGCAUUAAGCAUUCCGCCUGGGGAGUACGGCCGCAAGGCUGAAACUCAAAGGAAUUGACGGGGGCCCGCACAAGCGGUGGAGCAUGUGGUUUAAUUCGAAGCUACGCGAAGAACCUUACCAGGUCUUGACAUACUAUGCAAAUCUAAGAGAUUAGACGUUCCCUUCGGGGACAUGGAUACAGGUGGUGCAUGGUUGUCGUCAGCUCGUGUCGUGAGAUGUUGGGUUAAGUCCCGCAACGAGCGCAACCCUUAUUAUCAGUUGCCAGCAUUAAGUUGGGCACUCUGGUGAGACUGCCGGUGACAAACCGGAGGAAGGUGGGGAUGACGUCAAAUCAUCAUGCCCCUUAUGACCUGGGCUACACACGUGCUACAAUGGAUGGUACAACGAGUUGCGAACUCGCGAGAGUAAGCUAAUCUCUUAAAGCCAUUCUCAGUUCGGAUUGUAGGCUGCAACUCGCCUACAUGAAGUCGGAAUCGCUAGUAAUCGCGGAUCAGCAUGCCGCGGU